RNAcentral lists this long non-coding RNA (463 nucleotides) under Citrus sinensis (sweet orange). RNAcentral describes it as "long non-coding RNA (CSIN_LNC000431)". Lineage: Eukaryota; Viridiplantae; Streptophyta; Magnoliopsida; Sapindales; Rutaceae. The record is from RNAcentral.
CCACUUGGGCUUGUAGCUCAGUGGUGGACCAUUGCCCUCAAAGUUAAGCAUGACUAUGAGGGCAAUGGUUCGAGUCCCCACGGACUCAACCUCCUCCAAUUAAACAUAAUUGUGUGGAGAUUUUUAUAAACGUCUUUCUCCCUUGCGAAAUGCGAGUGGAGUAGAGACAUCCCUCCUCCGUGAGGGGUAUUUGGGAUGGACAUAUACUUCAUAGAAUAAAAAUGUAAUAAUAUAAGUCCCAUGUAUAUAUAUCUGAUCUGAUUAUAAAUAUCAGUAUAAUGACCUGCUGUCAUAGCAGUUGUAUAUAUAUCUGUGUAAUGCAGUAACCUGAUGCUUAAUCAGUUUCAAAAAAUAAAAAUAAAUUGUGUUUAUUAUAGCUGGUAUGCAUGUAUCCACAUGUAUACAGCGAGUACUAGCUACCGAAUCGUGACACCACGUCCGCACGAUAAGACAUAAGUAGCAG